Long non-coding RNA from Oryctolagus cuniculus (rabbit), 1665 nucleotides. The record is from Ensembl. NCBI's taxonomy places the organism in Eukaryota, Metazoa, Chordata, Mammalia, Lagomorpha, Leporidae.
AAUACAGGUUAUGGUUACCACAGAAACCCAGAUGUGGUUGCUGGAAAUAGGUGGCCUGGAGAUCUAAGCCAACAAGGGAUUAAUUUGAUGUAAUUCAAUCUCUUGUCUAAUACAAGUCUAAUUGCCUUAACAUUAUAUUUACUGAUUGCUUAAUUUGGAUGGAAGAGAAGAAUUUUUUUCUCUCUCAAUAAGUGUGAAUUAGAAUCCCCAGAUGGUUUCACAGAGGAGAUGAAGUUAUUCAUUUCAUUUUAAUGGCCUUCCAUGACUUCAGUUCAAUUGUUGGUAAAAUAUAGUGUUGCCCAGUAAGUCGACACCCCGGUUUAAUGAGUUUCUUGGGGAAAUUAUUACAAGAUAGCACAGACCUAAGCAGCAGCCCCCGUUUUUAAAAACAUAUCAUGUGAUAUUUAUUUUCUUGCACUGUGCAUUUCCUAUCAUUAUAUCUUAUUUCUGGGAUUUACAUCUCUCUAGAACAAAUAAAGCAUUCACGAUGACUACAUAUGUUAAAAUAUCUCCCCUCUAGAGCAAGGUCCAGCGUGAGCCUCCAACCUGUGCUUAGAAGAUGGCUUUGCGCGCUCUCAAGACAGCAUUUAUCCUGCUUGUGCAUGGGCCUAAUAUUUAUGACACCCAAAGAGCUAAGGAAGAGAGCUGCAGCAAGAGCUCCAGAAAAGAGGUGAUAUUGCUGUAAACUGUGAGGGAAGAGUUGGCCAGCAGAAAAGAGAUGUGGUCAAAGAGGUAAGACCUCAGUGGUUCAUUGUACUCACCGCUUCCUUAAGAUGGCUCUAGUAUUACAAUAACUCCCUCUACCUUUUCUCUUUCCCCUCCCUCCCUCCCUCCUUUCCUUCCUUCCUUCCUUCUUACCUUCCUUCCUUUCUUCCUUCUUUCCUUCUUUCCUUCCCUCUCUCCCUUCUCUCCCCGCCCCCCCCCUCUGGUUUUAAAUAUUUUGUGUGUUUAUCUGUUACUCGCAAUGGGAAAAUCUUUUACUAAGACAGGAUAGAAUCUCCAGUGAUGAACAUCAUUCUAGUAUUAGAACAGGGACAGUGGUUGUGGGUUUGUGCUUCAAAAAUUCAAAAAAGAAAUAGAAAUUUCUUGUAGAUGGGGGUCUUAGCUUUAGUAGAACAAAUGAAUUCAUUUUCAAAGUUUUUCAUUUUGUUGAGAGAAUAAGUUGUUUACUGUGAAUUUCCAGGUAGAAUUUCAUAUUUAGAAGGGUAAAUUAAGGAUCCUAGUUUAUAGAGAAAAUUUUUACUUUUAUUUUCUUUCAUUAUCUGACACCAUAUUUUCCACACUGAACCAAUUAUCUGCAAGUUAUUCUGUAAAGACUUCACCCAGGGGCUUGCAUUGUGGCGUAGCAGGUUAAGUCACCUCUGAUGCCAGCAUCCUCCAUGAGCAUCGAUCUAAAUUCCAGCUGCUCCACUUUCAAUCAGCUCCCUGCUAACACACCUGCGAAAGCCAGGGAAGCUGGCCCAAGUAUGUAGGCCCCUGCUACCCAUGUGGGAGAUCUGCUUGGAGUUCCAGGCUCCUGGCUUCAACCUGGCCCAACCCUGGCCAUGGUGGCCAUUUGGGAUUGAACCAGUGGAUGAAAGAUCUUUUUCUCUCUCUCUGUUUCUCUCUCCCUUGUAACUCUGCCUUUCAAAUAAAUACAAUAAAUCUUAAAAAAAAAAAGUAUCC